UACGUAGGCAGCGAGCGUUGUUCGGAGUUACUGGGCGUAAAGAGUGCGUAGGCGGUUUUCUAAGUUUGGUGUGAAAUCUCCCGGCUUAACUGGGAGGGUGCGCCGAAGACUGGAAGGCUUGAGUAUGGGAGAGGUAAGCGGAAUUCCUGGUGUAGCGGUGAAAUGCGUAGAUAUCAGGAAGAACACCCGUGGCUAAGGCGGUUCUCUAGUACGGUACUGACGCUGAGACGCGAAAGCGUGGGGAGCGAACAGG
RNAcentral lists this ribosomal RNA (253 nucleotides) under uncultured bacterium. Its description in RNAcentral is "partial 16S ribosomal RNA". It matches the Rfam family "Bacterial small subunit ribosomal RNA", at positions 524 to 776 of the family's 1533-position model. The record is from RNAcentral.